Molecule: ribosomal RNA, 431 nt
Filed under: uncultured bacterium
Lineage: Bacteria
Description: bacterial SSU rRNA
Rfam family: Bacterial small subunit ribosomal RNA
Source: RNAcentral
GACGAACGCUGGCGGCGUGCCUAACACAUGCAAGUCGAACGGAACUGUUUUGAAAGAUUUCUUCGGAAUGAAUUUGAUUUAGUUUAGUGGCGGACGGGUGAGUAACGCGUGAGUAACCUGCCUUCAAGAGGGGGAUAACAUUCUGAAAAGAAUGCUAAUACCGCAUGACAUAUCGGAAUCACAUGAUUUUGAUAUCAAAGAUUUUAUCGCUUGAAGAUGGACUCGCGUCCGAUUAGUUAGUUGGUGAGGUAACGGCUCACCAAGACCGCGAUCGGUAGCCGGACUGAGAGGUUGAACGGCCACAUUGGGACUGAGACACGGCCCAGACUCCUACGGGAGGCAGCAGUGGGGGAUAUUGCGCAAUGGGGGCAACCCUGACGCAGCAACGCCGCGUGAAGGAUGAAGGUUUUCGGAUUGUAAACUUCUUUUAU